Molecule: ribosomal RNA, 429 nt
Filed under: Chloroflexota bacterium
Lineage: Bacteria; Bacillati; Chloroflexota
Description: Chloroflexi bacterium partial 16S ribosomal RNA
Rfam family: Bacterial small subunit ribosomal RNA
Source: RNAcentral
UGGGGAAUAUUGCACAAUGGGCGCAAGCCUGAUGCAGCCAUGCCGCGUGUAUGAAGAAGGCCUUCGGGUUGUAAAGUGCUUUCAGUCGGGAGGAAGGUGGUAAGGUUAAUAACCUUAUCAAUUGACGUUACCGACAGAAGGAGCACCGGCUAACUCCGUGCCAGCAGCCGCGGUAAUACGGAGGGUGCAAGCGUUAAUCGGAAUUACUGGGCGUAAAGCGCACGCAGGCGGUUGAUUGAGUCAGAUGUGAAAUCCCCGGGCUUAACCCGGGAAUUGCAUCUGAUACUGGUCAGCUAGAGUCUUGUGGAGGGGGGUAGAAUUCCAUGUGUAGCGGUGAAAUGCGUAGAGAUGUGGAGGAAUACCGGUGGCGAAGGCGGCCCCCUGGACGAAGACUGACGCUCAGGUGCGAAAGCGUGGGGAGCAAACAGG